UACGGAGGGUGCGAGCGUUGUCCGGAAUCACUGGGCGUAAAGGGCGCGUAGGCGGCCUGAUAAGUAGGGGGUGAAAUCCUGCGGCUUAACCGCAGGGCUGCCUUCUAAACUGUCAGGCUGGAGCACAGUAGAGGCAGGUGGAAUUCCCGGUGUAGCGGUGGAAUGCGUAGAGAUCGGGAAGAACAUCAGUGGCGAAGGCGGAUCUCUGGGCCUUACCUGACGCUGAGGCGCGAAAGCUAGGGGAGCAAACAGG
RNAcentral lists this ribosomal RNA (253 nucleotides) under uncultured bacterium. Its description in RNAcentral is "partial 16S ribosomal RNA". It matches the Rfam family "Bacterial small subunit ribosomal RNA", at positions 524 to 776 of the family's 1533-position model. The record is from RNAcentral.